This 1316-nucleotide long non-coding RNA is filed under the name Marmota monax (woodchuck). Lineage: Eukaryota; Metazoa; Chordata; Mammalia; Rodentia; Sciuridae. The record is from RNAcentral.
GUUAAUAUAUACUUAAUCAGAACUUAUGGAAAACUGAUUCUCACACUCUUAUUCUCACACUCCCAUUCCAGAGGGAGAAGUUGCUAUUAUAGAGAUGACUAUAAUUCCAGCAAGAUUAGCUAGAGACAGAGUAUCAAUUGUGCUUUGAUAUUCUAUAAUAUUUUAACAUUAGAGCAAUUUCUAAAUUGGUAAGUUAUGUGAUACUUCUAUAAAGUUAAUUAAUAUACCACUAUUAGGGGAAAUAAUUCAUAUGCCUGAGCAGGGAAUUUUAUCUCCUUUCAAAUAUGUGAUCCACAUGCUAUACUUUUUCACAGAGUGUUAGAAAGCAUUAGAACAAAAUGUCAAAACGACAUGAAUGGUCAAUGCUAACUAGAGGUUUAAUAAAUAAAUAAAAUGGGCCCUUGAAUUCAUUAUAGAUUGCCAGAGCCUUUUUAGAGAGCAUUUUGGCAAUAUCUUUCAAGAACUAUAAUAAUAUCUGUGCCCUUUGCUUCAGUAAUUUCACUUCUGGGAAUCUCUCAGGAAAGAAUCCAAAUACAGAAAAAGUGAUAUGCAUGAAAAUAAUCAUAAACUUUGUAGAACCAUUUAUAAUAAUAAUGACAGCCCUUGGAAUUAUCCAUAACAAGAAAAUAAUUAACUGAAUUCUUCCUUUAAAAAUAUGAAUAUGAACAAUCCUGGAGAGUAAUACAUACGAAUUAUAAUGGAAGGACUAAGACCAUGUGUUUUGGUAUGUCUUUGGUUGCAAGAAAAGACAUAGGCUUUGGCAGAUCAAGGAAAGAAAUUUAUUACGAGGACAUGGGGUCUUUGUAUAGUCCAAGAAAAAUCUGGGUAAUCAAACCUAGUCAAGGUAAGAAAUCAGGGCAGCUCUGAGGCUUCUUGUAGCAAAAACUAGACAAACCUGUCUCCAGGGCACCUCCUCAGGGGAGAAUCAGCUCCAGCAAGUUUCUGUCCAGGUGCAGUCUCCCCAGUCUCCUGUCUCCCCUUUGGUCUGGCUUGAAUCCUAUGCUCACUUUGUGAUCAGUGUGAGAGGGCACCCUGAUUGACAACCCCACUCAGACCACCCAUAGAAGGAGAGUGACUCUCCUCAGGUUAAAGGGAGUACACUGUACACAGAGGAGGGAAGAAUGGAUGCUAAGCAGAGCAAAACAACAGAUUAACAACACAGAGUAAAAUGUGGAUGUGUAACCGAUGUGAUUCUGCAAUCUGUAUUUGGGGUAAAAUUGGGAGUUCAUAACCAACUUGAAUCUAAUGUAUGAAAUAUGAUAUGUCAAGAGCUUUAUAAUGUUUUGAACAACCAAUAAAAAAAAAUUAAAAAAAAA